GUCUUGAAUUGCAGGGAGAGUUGGGACAAUGCAUAAAAGCUGAAAGACCCAACAAGAUCAGAUAAUGCAAAGACAGUGUUGCAGUGCAGGGGCAAUGAGUGAGCCAAAACCUCAGGAGAGAAAGGGGAGCAGAGAGGAAGAGGUGGUGCUGCCGAGGGGCCGUGAACUAGCUCAGUUCCUGGAGCACUGGGUCCUGGAUGAGUCCUCAGGGGCUAAACCACAUCCUGUGAGGCGUGGUCGAGACUCCAGCCUUCCAAUCCCCGCAAGUUGCUUUACAACAACUCCCAUGGCUCAGGUUAACCUGAGAGUUUCCGCUCUUUCAACCAAACUGAGGCUAGCUCAGCCUUCACCUUUAACCUCCGGGUACAUGCUAAGAAUCGGAAGAGGCGAAUGGAGAGGACGAGUAUGGACAUCCCUCCAUGAACCCCCAGGCCUGACGCUGGCCCAAGGAGGCCCCGAGAAAGAGCCCGGCCCAGUUCCUGCUACACCAGAACCCCAGCCUCACAAAUUAGAUGCCCUGGAAACGCUGUGCCUGUCACCAAGAUGCACCUCCAUCUGGGGUGGAAGGCAACAUCUGCUAAACAGCUAUCUCUAUAGGAUGCAGCCCCUUCCUGUCCUUCUUACCUCAUCUCAUUUUCCUACACUCCAGCUGCUUAGGGAACCAGCCAAGCUCGCUCUCUCACCUCAGGACCUUUGAAUCUUCUGUUCCCCCUGCCUGGGACUCGCUUCCCCUGGCUGUCUGUGAAGCUGUCAUCUUCUUCAUCUUCAGGUCCAGCUCCAAUGCCACCUCCUCAGAGAGGCCUUUCUUUAUCCUUCCAGUUCAAAUAUCCACCAUCUUGAUGUCCGAAGGCAAAGAGAGUCUGAUCCAGCCAGCUAGGGCUUUGGCUGCUGAAAUCCAGCCGGCUCCCCAGAGCAUCAGCCUCACCUGGUAAAGACUUCCCCCAAGGGCUAGCCACAAGCCGCCCCUUCCCCGGAGGGGGGCUCACUCCUCCUUCCCGUCAACUGAAGAUCCUUCGUGAAUGGGCUUGUCUGGAACUGCUGCAAUUAAACCAUCAGAGCAACACUGGACCAUUUGUUUACUAUGGCGCUUAGAGCUGGAAUGGCUUGUUGUUUUGACAGUUUCUAUUUUCAGCUCCAUUUCCUAGGGGUAGCAGGGAGAGGGUAGGCAAUGAAUCCUGGUCUAUUCAAGUAAAAAGAUGCUUCAGUGAAUCCUAGAAUUUCAGAGUUACUGAAUUCUGGAAUCAUUGUCUUGGAAUGUGAGAGCAGUAAAAAUAUGCAAUUUUAGUUAUGGGUUCCUAGAUUCAUGGGAGCCUAGAAUCUUACACAACAGAAAAUAGAAUCUUAGUGUCAAACGAGUUUAGGCUCAAAGUUUUAGACUGAUAGAACCUUAAGAGAUUCUCUCACUUGGUUGAGUUCUCUGCUCCAAUACCACCUUCUCGAGAAACCGUCUCUGAUGACCUUAUCUACCAUGUCCCCCACCCCCACCCCCACAUGCUGUCAUUUUCUACUGUUUUAUUCUGGUUCAUUUUUCUUCGGAGCCCUGAUCACCACCUGACAUCUGAUAUAUUUCUCUGCUUAUUUGCUUGUUAUGUGUCUCCCCCACACAGUGGGUUGAGGUCAGCAACUCCGUUUUGUUCACUGCUUA
Equus caballus (horse) is the source of this 1645-nucleotide long non-coding RNA. NCBI's taxonomy places the organism in Eukaryota, Metazoa, Chordata, Mammalia, Perissodactyla, Equidae. The record is from Ensembl.